UGGUCAGAGCAAACACGAAAGGCC
This 24-nucleotide non-coding RNA is filed under the name Mus musculus (house mouse). Lineage: Eukaryota; Metazoa; Chordata; Mammalia; Rodentia; Muridae. The record is from RNAcentral.